AGAGUGCCUUUUAGCAUUUUGGAUGUUUAAUUAGCUAGAGUACGUAUCCGUGUUAUGUGACUGCGCCUGUGCUCACAAGCUAACCUAGCUAGCUUCCGUACAACACUGACAACGUGCUAGUUUUAAAUAAGCUUAUCUGCAAUAAAAUAUAUAUAUAUUGUAAUUUUUUAUAUUAUUUUAUAGCCGUUAAACGGCGAUCUUUGCUCAGUUAGGAGUGAGACUUUUACGUAUUUCCAAUGCGAGUUCAUCGCGCGAGCGCGGGAUUUUCAAAUUUCAAAUAACCGACAUCAGCGUUGCCCCUCGGUCGGUUUGGAUGCGACGAGGAUUUUACGAGUCAGCGGCAUUUGUUCAGGUUGGUACAAUAUUUUCUGACAUAUACUCUCCGUCCGCAGGUGUUAGAGCAGAGAACUACUGGAAACGGAAAACAGAAGUACAGACACUUGCCCUAAUGGAAAGUGUCCCAUUCUAGAGCUGAGAAGAGACAGCAGGACAGGGAAUCAUCUGCUAGUGUCGCGUCAGAUGUCUACAUGUCCACAAGUUGUUUAAGAAAAAGUAAGUAGAUACGACUAUUGCAAACACAAGGCAAGAAGUUAUCAGAGAUGAACCCUUCAUCACCGAGUUCAAAACCAGAUGGCCUGCUCUCUUCUGUGUUUCUGAGAAUAAAUUUAAGAGGACUACAACAGUUUGCUGCAACAGUUCUUCUCCAUGCUGGAUGGUUAUUCUUCAGACCUGAAAACGGUGUUUGGCAAGGAAGGCGGCAUUCAAGGACAAAAGAUUAAGAGCAUCAUGGUUCCCAUAACCCAGACUAACUCCAUUGAUGUCAGAAGAGUACAUCCUUUAAGCCCAGUGUGUGUUCCUCAAUGAAGAUCCUGGCAACCUUGUGAAAGAAUGGAUGAUCGUGGACGCCUUGAAGAAGCCAUGAUAGAGACAAUUCUUGAAGUUUUUGUCAUUCACAAAGAUGCAGAGGCAGAUGAUGACCCUGAAGAUGUAGUCAUCGUUUCAAGUCCUGGAUGAGUUGGGUAGUGUCCCACUUGCUGUGUUGUUGUUGUUUGCUCUUGUUAUAUGCUCUCAACCUCAGCUACCCUCCACUAAAAGUUGUUUGAAAUAUUGGCCCAAUGCUGUAUGUACAAUACUGGAUGUUAGUGACAUUUUGUAGCUGCCUUUGACAUUUGAAAGCUGUUUUAUCGUUUUUAUGAAGCUUAUAAAGUAUUCUAACCAG
This is a long non-coding RNA of Betta splendens (Siamese fighting fish), 1219 nucleotides long. RefSeq lists it as uncharacterized. The record is from RefSeq and is a predicted model, not a curated record. NCBI's taxonomy places the organism in Eukaryota, Metazoa, Chordata, Actinopteri, Anabantiformes, Osphronemidae. The transcript has 6 exons.